RNAcentral lists this ribosomal RNA (407 nucleotides) under uncultured bacterium. RNAcentral describes it as "partial 16S ribosomal RNA". It matches the Rfam family "Bacterial small subunit ribosomal RNA", at positions 28 to 526 of the family's 1533-position model. The record is from RNAcentral.
GACGAACGCUGGCGGCGUGCCUAAUACAUGCAAGUAGAACGCAGUUGCGAACGGGUGAGUAACGUGUAGGUAACUGCCUCAUAGCGGGGGAUAACUAUUGGAAACGAAAGCUAAUACCGCCUACUGUGAGAUGGACCUGCGUUGGAUUAGCUAGUUGGUGCGGAAAAGGCUCACCAAGGCGACGAUACAUAUGCGACCUGAGAGGGGGAUCCGCCAACAUGGGACUGGGGCACGGCCCAGACUCCGUCGGGAAGCAGCAGGUGGGAAACUUCGGCAAUGGACGGAAGUCUGACCGAGGAACGCCGGGUGAGUGGAGAAGGUUUUCGGAUCGGAAAGCUCUGUUGUUUGGGAAGCGGUACCUAACCAGAAAGGAACGGCUAACUACGUGCCAGCAGCCGCGGUAAUUC